Molecule: ribosomal RNA, 301 nt
Filed under: uncultured bacterium
Lineage: Bacteria
Description: partial 16S ribosomal RNA
Rfam family: Bacterial small subunit ribosomal RNA
Source: RNAcentral
CAGCAGCCACGGUAAUACGUAGGGUGCAAGCGUUAAUCGGAAUUACUGGGCGUAAAGCGUGCGCAGGCGGUUUUGUAAGACAGAGGUGAAAUCCCCGGGCUCAACCUGGGAACUGCCUUUGUGACUGCAAGGCUAGAGUACGGCAGAGGGGGAUGGAAUUCCGCGUGUAGCAGUGAAAUGCGUAGAUAUGCGGAGGAACACCGAUGGCGAAGGCAAUCCCCUGGGCCUGUACUGACGCUCAUGCACGAAAGCGUGGGGAGCAAACAGGAUUAGAUACCCGUGUAGUCCCUGUCUCUUAUAA